CCAUACUGACAUCUGUUGUCAGUUGCCAAUGUACUUUAAAACUCUAGUUUUUAUGUUUAUUGACCCAUAAUGGGCGAUAGAUGUCGCUCAAAACAAAAAAGAAGUUUUGUUUACAAUUUUUUCCCUGUUGAAAAAUCAGCCAAUCCCAAACAGACAAAUACGGUGAUGAUAUAAAGAUCGCGGUACCAGACCAUAAAAUGUACAAAAAAAUAGGACCAUCACGAAGAAAUACAUCGAUGUUUCACGCCAAACAAAUGUUUUGAAUGUAUCGAUUAGAAACAUAAAUAUAAUAAUAUUAUAUAAUAAUGUAAUGUAUUGUGUUUAUUAAAUAAAUAUGGUUAUGAUAGUAAAAGAGAAAAGAAAGAGAAAA
This is a long non-coding RNA of Bombyx mori (domestic silkworm), 370 nucleotides long. RefSeq lists it as uncharacterized. Lineage: Eukaryota; Metazoa; Arthropoda; Insecta; Lepidoptera; Bombycidae. The transcript has 2 exons. The record is from RefSeq and is a predicted model, not a curated record.